AGCAGACACUCUUUAGUGCAGUCCUGAUUUCUGUAUUAAUGAAUUGAGAAGAUGACAUCAGGCUCUUAGCAUUCAUAAUAAAGCCAACGUGGUGUUUCACUGCAAUAUGACAUCUCAAGUAAUCUUCUUAACAGAUGCAUAGAUGGCGGUCCAGAUGAUUAUUGUACUACUUGUACAUAACCUGAAAGCAAGUAUGGGAAAGAGUGCUCUUCAAAAGACACACAGAAUCACAGAAUUUGGUGAGCUGGAAGGAACCCACAAGGAUCAUCAAGUCCAAUUCCUGGCCCUGCACAAGAACCCCAGGAAUCACACCAUGUGCUUGAGAACAUGGUCCAAAUGCUUCUUGAACUCUGACAGGCUGACGCUGUGACCAUUGCCUGGGGAGCCUGUUCCAGUGCCCAACCACCCUCUGAGUGGAGAACCUUUUUCUGAUAUCCAGCCUAA
This is a long non-coding RNA of Hirundo rustica (Barn swallow), 444 nucleotides long. RefSeq lists it as uncharacterized. The transcript is spliced from 3 exons. NCBI's taxonomy places the organism in Eukaryota, Metazoa, Chordata, Aves, Passeriformes, Hirundinidae. The record is from RefSeq and is a predicted model, not a curated record.